RNAcentral lists this ribosomal RNA (1363 nucleotides) under uncultured Bacillota bacterium. RNAcentral describes it as "bacterial SSU rRNA". It matches the Rfam family "Bacterial small subunit ribosomal RNA", at positions 63 to 1409 of the family's 1533-position model. The record is from RNAcentral. Lineage: Bacteria; Bacillati; Bacillota.
CGAGCGGACAGAUGGGAGCUUGCUCCCUGAUGUUAGCGGCGGACGGGUGAGUAACACGUGGGUAACCUGCCUGUAAGACUGGGAUAACUCCGGGAAACCGGGGCUAAUACCGGAUGGUUGUUUGAACCGCAUGGUUCAAACAUAAAAGGUGGCUUCGGCUACCACUUACAGAUGGACCCGCGGCGCAUUAGCUAGUUGGUGAGGUAACGGCUCACCAAGGCAACGAUGCGUAGCCGACCUGAGAGGGUGAUCGGCCACACUGGGACUGAGACACGGCCCAGACUCCUACGGGAGGCAGCAGUAGGGAACUCUUCCGCAAUGGACGAAAGUCUGACGGAGCAACGCCGCGUGAGUGAUGAAGGUUUUCGGAUCGUAAAGCUCUGUUGUUAGGGAAGGACAAGUACCGUUCAAAUAGGGCGGUACCUUGACGGUACCUAACCAGAAAGCCACGGCUAACUACGUGCCAGCAGCCGCGGUAAUACGUAGGUGGCAAGCGUUGUCCGGAAUUAUUGGGCGUAAAGGGCUCGCAGGCGGUUUCUUAAGUCUGAUGUGAAAGCCCCCGGCUCAACCGGGGAGGGUCAUUGGAAACUGGGGAACUUGAGUGCAGAAGAGGAGAGUGGAAUUCCACGUGUAGCGGUGAAAUGCGUAGAGAUGUGGAGGAACACCAGUGGCGAAGGCGACUCUCUGGUCUGUAACUGACGCUGAGGAGCGAAAGCGUGGGGAGCGAACAGGAUUAGAUACCCUGGUAGUCCACGCCGUAAACGAUGAGUGCUAAGUGUUAGGGGGUUUCCGCCCCUUAGUGCUGCAGCUAACGCAUUAAGCACUCCGCCUGGGGAGUACGGUCGCAAGACUGAAACUCAAAGGAAUUGACGGGGGCCCGCACAAGCGGUGGAGCAUGUGGUUUAAUUCGAAGCAACGCGAAGAACCUUACCAGGUCUUGACAUCCUCUGACAAUCCUAGAGAUAGGACGUCCCCUUCGGGGGCAGAGUGACAGGUGGUGCAUGGUUGUCGUCAGCUCGUGUCGUGAGAUGUUGGGUUAAGUCCCGCAACGAGCGCAACCCUUGAUCUUAGUUGCCAGCAUUCAGUUGGGCACUCUAAGGUGACUGCCGGUGACAAACCGGAGGAAGGUGGGGAUGACGUCAAAUCAUCAUGCCCCUUAUGACCUGGGCUACACACGUGCUACAAUGGACAGAACAAAGGGCAGCGAAACCGCGAGGUUAAGCCAAUCCCACAAAUCUGUUCUCAGUUCGGAUCGCAGUCUGCAACUCGACUGCGUGAAGCUGGAAUCGCUAGUAAUCGCGGAUCAGCAUGCCGCGGUGAUACGUUCCCGGGCCUUGUACACACCGCCCGUCACACCACGAGA